AUGAGCGGCACCAUUGUCAUCACCGUCGCCGUCGACAACUCUCUCAUCGGCAAGAGCUGCGCCAUCCAAUGGCCUGCCACCCGCAAGGGGCUGCAGACUGGCACACCAUCGGCUGAUGGGAUUGAGAGCAUGAUGUUCACGUACCGAUUCAUGGAGGACCGGCCGGGCACGUACCACACUUGUGAUGACCAAGACCCGACCACAAUGUUCACCAACGUGCAGGAAAGCAAAGCUGGGUCGGCCCAUUCAGACAAGGGGCAGACCAGAUACGGCUUUGCUCGCACCGUCGACCGAGAAGUCAUGGCGUACACCCCAGGAGGCAGGGGCCAUGGCGCCCUUGCAUGCCCUGAAGCACAACUCAUGGCCGGUAACUCUGUUAUCUACCUCAAUGACGAAGGCCCGGUCGAGCGGCUCCUUCGGUGGGUUGCUGGUAUAUGCGGGGGCAGGGACCAUGCCGUCUAUGCGUGCCCCGAAGCACAACUCAUGGCCGAUUGUCCUGUCAUUCACCUGAAUGACGGAAGGGCCGAUCGAGUGGCUCCUCCGCUGAUCCAUCGGCUGUUACGUGCCAUCGAUGAGAUGACCCGUUAA
This 588-nucleotide ribosomal RNA is filed under the name Triticum aestivum (bread wheat). Its description in RNAcentral is "partial small subunit ribosomal RNA". The record is from RNAcentral. Lineage: Eukaryota; Viridiplantae; Streptophyta; Magnoliopsida; Poales; Poaceae.